AGGGAUGGUAAAUGUGUUCGCUUUGCUGAUGUGUGGGCUCAGUGCAAGGGAAGCUGGAGGAGGCCCGCGUGCUCGCACACACACAGUCUUGGUGAGCUCUUAGCCUGGACGUGGUUCAAGUCGUGGAGGGAUCCAAUUCUUCUUGUGAAGACGAAGAAAGGAAAGCAGCCAACUUCAUGCAUCAAGUGGAACACUAAUCCUGAACUACGAGGAACAACUUCCAAGCCUUCAGAUGAUCUACCUUUGUGAUGGCCACUCCCAAAGUAAUCAACCCUGGGGAAAUUCAUGUCUGGACUGAUGGAACUCUGUUUUAGUUUCAUAUCCUUGAUAGAAUAUGAAAGUUUUUUUUUCCCACCUACAUUUUUGAUCCAAGGCCUUCCUAAGAUUAAGACCAGCAAAUUAGUUCUGCUUGCUUCUUGGAUGACUGCUAUUCCAUGUCCUCUGCACAUGGUCAAUUACUUCUAGGAUCCCCAAACCAGGUGGUUUGGAAGCAAGAUGGUCAUAUUAAUGUCGAAUUUGGACCAAGACACUAAUGCCUGGCACUAAGUUUGAUAAUUAUCAAGUAGAUAUAAUACCAAGCUACUGUUAGGCUACUGCAACUUGGCUGAGUCCAAACAACCUGAAUACCUCUGUACUGUAAUUACAUUUUCUUGUAUUUCCCAUUUUAGGUGGAAAAAUGGCUUGUGAUUUGUCUUUUGUCUUUUUAGGAUAUCUACAUUAUUCUGUUGAGUUCA
Nothoprocta perdicaria is the source of this 734-nucleotide long non-coding RNA. RefSeq lists it as uncharacterized. Lineage: Eukaryota; Metazoa; Chordata; Aves; Tinamiformes; Tinamidae. The record is from RefSeq and is a predicted model, not a curated record. The transcript is spliced from 3 exons.